AUUGAACGCUGGCGGAAUGCUCUACACAUGCAAGUCGAGCGGCAGCACGGGGGCAACCCUGGUGGCGAGCGGCGAACGGGUGAGUAAUACAUCGGAACAUGCCCAGUCGUGGGGGAUAACACUUCGAAAGAAGUGCUAAUACCGCAUACGUCCUGAGGGGGAAAGCGGGGGAUCGCAAGACCUCGCGCGAUUGGAGUGGCCGAUGUCAGAUUAGCUAGUUGGUGGGGUAAAGGCCUACCAAGGCAACGAUCUGUAGCUGGUCUGAGAGGAUGAUCAGCCACACUGGGACUGAGACACGGCCCAGACUCCUACGGGAGGCAGCAGUGGGGAAUUUUGGACAAUGGGGGCAACCCUGAUCCAGCCAUUCCGCGUGAGUGAAGAAGGCCUUCGGGUUGUAAAGCUCUUUCGGCAGGAACGAAACGGUGAGCUCUAACAUAGCUUGCUAAUGACGGUACCUGAAGAAGAAGCACCGGCUAACUACGUG
This 484-nucleotide ribosomal RNA is filed under the name uncultured bacterium. RNAcentral describes it as "partial 16S ribosomal RNA". It matches the Rfam family "Bacterial small subunit ribosomal RNA", at positions 30 to 507 of the family's 1533-position model. The record is from RNAcentral.